This 2044-nucleotide ribosomal RNA is filed under the name Salmonella enterica subsp. enterica serovar Saintpaul. RNAcentral's name for it is "partial 23S ribosomal RNA". It matches the Rfam family "Bacterial large subunit ribosomal RNA", at positions 161 to 2141 of the family's 2925-position model. Lineage: Bacteria; Pseudomonadati; Pseudomonadota; Gammaproteobacteria; Enterobacterales; Enterobacteriaceae. The record is from RNAcentral.
AAUCCAUAGGUUAAUGAGGCGAACCGGGGGAACUGAAACAUCUAAGUACCCCGAGGAAAAGAAAUCAACCGAGAUUCCCCCAGUAGCGGCGAGCGAACGGGGAGGAGCCCAGAGCCUGAAUCAGCAUGUGUGUUAGUGGAAGCGUCUGGAAAGGCGCGCGAUACAGGGUGACAGCCCCGUACACAAAAGCGCAUGUGCUGUGAGCUCGAUGAGUAGGGCGGGACACGUGGUAUCCUGUCUGAAUAUGGGGGGACCAUCCUCCAAGGCUAAAUACUCCUGACUGACCGAUAGUGAACCAGUACCGUGAGGGAAAGGCGAAAAGAACCCCGGCGAGGGGAGUGAAAAAGAACCUGAAACCGUGUACGUACAAGCAGUGGGAGCACAGGUUUACCUGUGUGACUGCGUACCUUUUGUAUAAUGGGUCAGCGACUUAUAUUCUGUAGCAAGGUUAACCGUAUAGGGGAGCCGGAGGGAAACCGAGUCUUAACCGGGCGUUAAGUUGCAGGGUAUAGACCCGAAACCCGGUGAUCUAGCCAUGGGCAGGUUGAAGGUUGGGUAACACUAACUGGAGGACCGAACCGACUAAUGUUGAAAAAUUAGCGGAUGACCUGUGGCUGGGGGUGAAAGGCCAAUCAAACCGGGAGAUAGCUGGUUCUCCCCGAAAGCUAUUUAGGUAGCGCCUCGUGAAUUCAUCUCCGGGGGUAGAGCACUGUUUCGGCUAGGGGGCCAUCCCGGCUUACCAACCCGAUGCAAACUGCGAAUACCGGAGAAUGUUAUCACGGGAGACACACGGCGGGUGCUAACGUCCGUCGUGAAGAGGGAAACAACCCAGACCGCCAGCUAAGGUCCCAAAGUCAUGGUUAAGUGGGAAACGAUGUGGGAAGGCCCAGACAGCCAGGAUGUUGGCUUAGAAGCAGCCAUCAUUUAAAGAAAGCGUAAUAGCUCACUGGUCGAGUCGGCCUGCGCGGAAGAUGUAACGGGGCUAAACCAUGCACCGAAGCUGCGGCAGCGAACGUAUCACCCAAGACAACUUUACGGAGUUGACGAUUGACGGAGCGAAGCGACGUCAAAGCGUUCAUUAAAGUCGAGUUGGCUUAGGGAUACGUUCGUUGGGUAGGGGAGCGUUCUGUAAGCCUGUGAAGGUGUGUCGUGAGGCAUGCUGGAGGUAUCAGAAGUGCGAAUGCUGACAUAAGUAACGAUAAAGCGGGUGAAAAGCCCGCUCGCCGGAAGACCAAGGGUUCCUGUCCAACGUUAAUCGGGGCAGGGUGAGUCGACCCCUAAGGCGAGGCCGAAAGGCGUAGUCGAUGGGAAACGGGUUAAUAUUCCCGUACUUGGUGUUACUGCGAAGGGGGGACGGAGAAGGCUAUGUUGGCCGGGCGACGGUUGUCCCGGUUUAAGCGUGUAGGUGUGUGUUCCAGGUAAAUCCGGUUCACUUUAACACUGAGGCGUGACGACGAGGCACUACGGUGCUGAAGCAACAAAUGCCCUGCUUCCAGGAAAAGCCUCUAAGCAUCAGGUAACAUCAAAUCGUACCCCAAACCGACACAGGUGGUCAGGUAGAGAAUACCAAGGCGCUUGAGAGAACUCGGGUGAAGGAACUAGGCAAAAUGGUGCCGUAACUUCGGGAGAAGGCACGCUGACACGUAGGUGAAGUGAUUUACUCAUGGAGCUGAAGUCAGUCGAAGAUACCAGCUGGCUGCAACUGUUUAUUAAAAACACAGCACUGUGCAAACACGAAAGUGGACGUAUACGGUGUGACGCCUGCCCGGUGCCGGAAGGUUAAUUGAUGGGGUCAGCGCAAGCGAAGCUCCUGAUCGAAGCCCCGGUAAACGGCGGCCGUAACUAUAACGGUCCUAAGGUAGCGAAAUUCCUUGUCGGGUAAGUUCCGACCUGCACGAAUGGCGUAAUGAUGGCCAGGCUGUCUCCACCCGAGACUCAGUGAAAUUGAACUCGCUGUGAAGAUGCAGUGUACCCGCGGCAAGACGGAAAGACCCCGUGAACCUUUACUAUAGCUUGACACUGAACAUUGAGCCUUGAUGUGUAG